This 301-nucleotide ribosomal RNA is filed under the name uncultured bacterium. RNAcentral's name for it is "partial 16S ribosomal RNA". It matches the Rfam family "Bacterial small subunit ribosomal RNA", at positions 509 to 807 of the family's 1533-position model. The record is from RNAcentral.
CAGUAGCCGCGGGAAUACGAAUGGGGCUAGCGUUGUUCGGAUUUACUGGGCGUAAAGCGCACGUAGGCGGAUCGAUCAGUCAGGGGUGAAAUCCCAGAGCUCAACUCUGGAACUGCCUUUGAUACUGUCGAUCUGGAGUAUGGAAGAGGUGAGUGGAAUUCCGAGUGUAGAGGUGAAAUUCGUAGAUAUUCGGAGGAACACCAGUGGCGAAGGCGGCUCACUGGUCCAUUACUGACGCUGAGGUGCGAAAGCGUGGGGAACAAACAGGAUUCGAUACCCCAGUAGUCCCUGUCUCUUAUAC